GACGAACGCUGGCGGCGUGCCUAAUACAUGCAAGUAGAACGCUGAAGGAGGAGCUUGCUUCUCUGGAUGAGUUGCGAACGGGUGAGUAACGCGUAGGUAACCUGCCUGGUAGCGGGGGAUAACUAUUGGAAACGAUAGCUAAUACCGCAUAAGAGUAGAUGUUGCAUGACAUUUGCUUAAAAGUUGCAAUUGCAUCACUACCAGAUGGACCUGCGUUGUAUUAGCUAGUUGGUGAGGUAACGGCUCACCAAGGCGACGAUACAUAGCCGACCUGAGAGGGUGAUCGGCCACACUGGGACUGAGACACGGCCCAGACUCCUACGGGAGGCAGCAGUAGGGAAUCUUCGGCAAUGGACGGAAGUCUGACCGAGCAACGCCGCGUGAGUGAAGAAGGUUUUCGGAUCGUAAAGCUCUGUUGUAAGAGAAGAACGAGGGUGAGAGUGGAAAGUUCACACUGUGACGGUAUCUUACCAGAAAGGGACGGCUAACUACGUG
This 495-nucleotide ribosomal RNA is filed under the name uncultured bacterium. RNAcentral describes it as "partial 16S ribosomal RNA". It matches the Rfam family "Bacterial small subunit ribosomal RNA", at positions 28 to 507 of the family's 1533-position model. The record is from RNAcentral.